UACAGAGGGUGCGAGCGUUAAUCGGAAUUACUGGGUGUAAAGGGCGCGUAGGCGGCGAGAUAUGUGUGAUGUGAAAGCCCCGGGCUUAACCUGGGAAGCGCAUUGCAAACUGUCUGGCUAGAGUAUAUGAGAGGGUGGCGGAAUUUCCGGUGUAGCGGUGAAAUGCGUAGAGAUCGGAAGGAACGUCAAUGGCGAAGGCAGCCACCUGGCAUAAUACUGACGCUGAGGCGCGAAAGCGUGGGGAGCGAACAGG
Molecule: ribosomal RNA, 253 nt
Filed under: uncultured bacterium
Lineage: Bacteria
Description: partial 16S ribosomal RNA
Rfam family: Bacterial small subunit ribosomal RNA
Source: RNAcentral